This 502-nucleotide ribosomal RNA is filed under the name Bacillus subtilis. RNAcentral's name for it is "bacterial SSU rRNA". It matches the Rfam family "Bacterial small subunit ribosomal RNA", at positions 375 to 868 of the family's 1533-position model. The record is from RNAcentral. Lineage: Bacteria; Bacillati; Bacillota; Bacilli; Caryophanales; Bacillaceae.
AGGGAAGUCUGACGGAGCACGCCGCGUGAGUGAUGAAGGUUUUCGGAUCGUAAAGCUCUGUUGUUAGGGAAGAACAAGUACCGUUCGAAUAGGGCGGUACCUUGACGGUACCUAACCAGAAAGCCACGGCUAACUACGUGCCAGCAGCCGCGGUAAUACGUAGGUGGCAAGCGUUGUCCGGAAUUAUUGGGCGUAAAGGGCUCGCAGGCGGUUUCUUAAGUCUGAUGUGAAAGCCCCCGGCUCAACCGGGGAGGGUCAUUGGAAACUGGGGAACUUGAGUGCAGAAGAGGAGAGUGGAAUUCCACGUGUAGCGGUGAAAUGCGUAGAGAUGUGGAGGAACACCAGUGGCGAAGGCGACUCUCUGGUCUGUAACUGACGCUGAGGAGCGAAAGCGUGGGGAGCGAACAGGAUUAGAUACCCUGGUAGUCCACGCCGUAAACGAUUAGUGCUAAGUGUUAGGGGGUUUCCGCCCCUUAUUGCUGCAUCUGACGAAAUAACCACU